RNAcentral lists this transfer RNA (71 nucleotides) under Marmota monax (woodchuck). Its description in RNAcentral is "tRNA.Ala". Lineage: Eukaryota; Metazoa; Chordata; Mammalia; Rodentia; Sciuridae. The record is from RNAcentral.
GUGGGUGUAGCUCAGUGGUAGAGGGCUUGCCUAGCAUGAGUGAGGCCCUGGGUUCUAUCCCCAGCACCUCA